RNAcentral lists this ribosomal RNA (470 nucleotides) under uncultured bacterium. Its description in RNAcentral is "partial 16S ribosomal RNA". It matches the Rfam family "Bacterial small subunit ribosomal RNA", at positions 28 to 507 of the family's 1533-position model. The record is from RNAcentral.
GACGAACGCUGGCGGCGUGCUUAACACAUGCAAGUCGAACGGUGAACGAGGGAGCUUGCUCCCUCCGGAUCAGUGGCGAACGGGUGAGUAACACGUGAGCAAUCUGCCCCGAACUCUGGGAUAAGCGUUGGAAACGACGUCUAAUACCGGAUACGACGCGGGAGGGCAUCCUCUCCGCGUGGAAAGAACUUCGGUUCGGGAUGAGCUCGCGGCCUAUCAGCUUGUUGGUGAGGUAACGGCUCACCAAGGCGACGACGGGUAGCCGGCCUGAGAGGGUGACCGGCCACACUGGGACUGAGACACGGCCCAGACUCCUACGGGAGGCAGCAGUCGGGAAUAUUGCACAAUGGGCGCAAGCCUGAUGCAGCAACGCCGCGUGAGGGACGACGGCCUUCGGGUUGUAAACCUCUUUUAGCAGGGAAGAAGCGAAAGUGACGGUACCUGCAGAAAAAGCACCGGCUAACUACGUG